AGGUCUUGGUACGCCUAACGUACAUCAAUGAGCUUGCAACUCAACAUGAACUUCACUACAAGACC
This 65-nucleotide transfer RNA is filed under the name Tyto alba (common barn owl). RNAcentral describes it as "tRNA-Cys". Lineage: Eukaryota; Metazoa; Chordata; Aves; Strigiformes; Tytonidae. The record is from RNAcentral.